GGGGGUGUAGCUCACUGGUGGAGUGCUUGCCUAGUAUGUAUGAGGUCCAGGGUUCAAUCCCCAGUACCAGCA
RNAcentral lists this transfer RNA (72 nucleotides) under Heterocephalus glaber (naked mole-rat). It matches the Rfam family "tRNA". From Rfam's summary of the family: Transfer RNA (tRNA) molecules are approximately 80 nucleotides in length. Their secondary structure includes four short double-helical elements and three loops (D, anti-codon, and T loops). Further hydrogen bonds mediate the characteristic L-shaped molecular structure. tRNAs have two regions of fundamental functional importance: the anti-codon, which is responsible for specific mRNA codon recognition, and the 3' end, to which the tRNAs corresponding amino acid is attached (by aminoacyl-tRNA synthetases). tRNAs cope with the degeneracy of the genetic code in two manners: having more than one tRNA (with a specific anti-codon) for a particular amino acid; and 'wobble' base-pairing, i.e. permitting non-standard base-pairing at the 3rd anti-codon position. Lineage: Eukaryota; Metazoa; Chordata; Mammalia; Rodentia; Bathyergidae. The record is from Rfam by way of RNAcentral.